This 267-nucleotide ribosomal RNA is filed under the name uncultured bacterium. RNAcentral's name for it is "partial 16S ribosomal RNA". The record is from RNAcentral.
CUGCUGCCUUCCGUAGGAGUCUGGUCCGUGUCUCAGUACCAGUGUGGGGGACCUUCCUCUCAGAACCCCUACGCAUCGUCGCCUCGGUGGGCCGUUACCCCGCCGACUAGCUAAUGCGCCGCAUGGCCAUCCGCAGCCGAUGAAUCUUUAACCGCCGAGGGAUGCCCCCUCUGCGGUGUUACGCGGUAUUAGACGGAAUUUCUUCCGCUUACUCCCCUGCUGCGGGCAGGUUCCAUACGUGUUACUCACCCGUGCGCCGGUCGCCGG